This 299-nucleotide signal recognition particle RNA is filed under the name Aotus nancymaae (Ma's night monkey). RNAcentral describes it as "Metazoan signal recognition particle RNA (ENSANAG00000007173.1)". It matches the Rfam family "Metazoan signal recognition particle RNA". Rfam says of the family: The signal recognition particle (SRP) is a universally conserved ribonucleoprotein. It is involved in the co-translational targeting of proteins to membranes. The eukaryotic SRP consists of a 300-nucleotide 7S RNA and six proteins: SRPs 72, 68, 54, 19, 14, and 9. Lineage: Eukaryota; Metazoa; Chordata; Mammalia; Primates; Aotidae. The record is from RNAcentral.
GCUGGGUGCUGUGACACGUGCCUGUAGUCCCAGCUACUCGGGAGGCCGAGGUGGGAGGAUCACUUGGGCCUAGGAGUUCUGGGCUGUAGUGCACUCUGCCAAUUGGGUGUCCACACUAAGUUCGGCAUCAAUAUGGUGCCCUCCCAGGAGCUGGGGACCACCAGGUUGCCUAAGGAGGGGUGAACCGGCCCAGGUCAGAAACGGAGCAGGUCAAAACUCCCAUGCUGAUCAGUAGUGGGAUAGCGACGGUGAAUAGCCACUGCACUCCAGCCUGGGCAACAAAGCAAGACCCUGUCAAU